ACUCAAUAGAUACCCGGGUAGUCCACGCCCUAAACGAUGUCUACUAGUUGUCGGGUCUUAAUUGACUUGGUAAACGCAGCUAAACGCGUGAAGUAGACCGCCUGGGGAGUACGGUCGCAAGAUUAAAACUCAAAGGAAUUGACGGGGACCCGCACAAGCGGUGGAUGAUGUGGAUUAAUUCGAUGCAACGCGAAAAACCUUACCUACCCUUGACAUGGAUGGAAUCCCUGAGAGAUUGGGGAGGUGCUCGAAAGAGAACCAUUACACAGGUGCUGCAUGGCUGUCGUCAGCUCGUGUCGUGAGAUGUUGGGUUAAGUCCCGCAACGAGCGCAACCCUUGUCAUUAGUUGCUACGAAAGGGCACUCUAAUGAGACUGCCGGUGACAAACCGGAGGAAGGUGGGGAUGACGUCAAGUCCUCAUGGCCCUUAUGGGUAGGGCUUCACACGUCAUACAAUGGUACAUACAGAGGGCCGCCAGCCCGCGAGGGGUAGCUAAUCCCAGAAAGUGUAUCGUAGUCCGGAUUGUAGUCUGCAACUCG
Molecule: ribosomal RNA, 539 nt
Filed under: uncultured bacterium
Lineage: Bacteria
Description: bacterial SSU rRNA
Rfam family: Bacterial small subunit ribosomal RNA
Source: RNAcentral